UACUAGAGUAGCACUCGCAUAUCAAUAAGCGGAGGAAAAGAAACUAACAAGGAUUCCCCUAGUAACGGCGAGUGAAGCGGGAAGAGCUCAAAUUUGAAAUCUUAAAGGGUUUCCCUUUACGAAUUGUAGUUUAAAGAAGUGUUUUCUGUUGAGGUUUUGGUAAAAGUUCUUUGGAAUAGGACAUCAUAGAGGGUGAGAAUCCCGUAUUUGACCUUUACUUUCAACUUUGUGAUACACUUUCAAAGAGUCGGAUUGUUUGGGAAUGCAGUCCAAAAUGGGUGGUAAAUUUCAUCUAAAGCUAAAUAUUGGCGAGAGACCGAUAGCGAACAAGUACCGUGAGGGAAAGAUGAAAAGAACUUUGAAAAGAGAGUUAAACAGGUACGUGAAAUUGUCAAAAGGGAAGCGUUUGACACCAGUGUUGUUUUUCUGAAAAUCAAUUAAAGAACUGUUUAUGCUAAGUUGUUUAGACUUUAUCAGCUAUCUGUUUAGUUUUGAGCUUUUCUUUAAUGCACUUUUCAGUUAACAAGUCAACAUCAAUUUCUUUUGCUGUAAAAAAGCUUGAGGAAGGUGGCUUGAGAUUCGUCUUAAGUGUUUAUAGCCUCUUGCCUAUGCAGUCGGAGAGAUUGAGGUCUGCAGCGUAGAUCCUUCGGGGCUAAAUGCAUUUGUGCUAAGUUAUAGCAUUUUAUAGACAACUUGUUGACUAUGAUUUGUCUUGUAGCUUACUCGCUUAUGUUAUUUUACCUACGCUUAGGAUGUUGAGCGCAUGUCUCUCUCU
Molecule: ribosomal RNA, 775 nt
Filed under: uncultured Neocallimastigales
Lineage: Eukaryota; Fungi; Neocallimastigomycota; Neocallimastigomycetes; Neocallimastigales
Description: partial large subunit ribosomal RNA
Rfam family: Eukaryotic large subunit ribosomal RNA
Source: RNAcentral